CUUGAAGACGCCCCCGCAGCCUUUAUUCGCUCCCUCCCGAGAAAUCCUCUUUCCUCCAGGGCCGCGCAGCCCCUGCUCCCGCCGCCCCGCUCCAGACUCCUGGAGGAAGAGUGCCCAGCUGGCUGGGAAUGAGUCACGCUAGGAGAGGAAGGGGCUUCAGCCCAUAAAUGGACAAAGCUCCAGCUGAGUUUCGGUCUCUAGGAAAGGGCCAGCCUCUGCCCUCUCCCCCGAACGAAGGAAUUCCCCCAGAAGAGGAAGGCGUCUGGGACCGGCUUUGACAGGAUGGGAUUCUAGAAAUAGCUGAGCUUUUUAGGAGGGCUUGAAGCCUUGGCCAGACAAAAGCUCCAGGAGACAGACAGAUUCAAUCAAGACACCGGUGCACCGAUUUGCACUGAAAAACAGCCCCGCUGCUGGAGCAACCAAACACUCCGGAUGCUGACAGACACAUUCCCCACCACCAGCGAUGCCACACAAGGGAGCCCAAGUUCAGGGAGAAGGUCACCCGGGCAGCAUGGAAGCUGCCAAGGAGACCUGGCCAAGUGGUCUUCACAGAACAGCAAGUGAUACAUGCAGG
Molecule: long non-coding RNA, 574 nt
Organism: Heterocephalus glaber (naked mole-rat)
Lineage: Eukaryota; Metazoa; Chordata; Mammalia; Rodentia; Bathyergidae
Source: Ensembl